This 322-nucleotide ribosomal RNA is filed under the name Bacillariophyta sp. MB7-4. RNAcentral's name for it is "LSU rRNA". It matches the Rfam family "Bacterial large subunit ribosomal RNA", at positions 2144 to 2465 of the family's 2925-position model. The record is from RNAcentral. Lineage: Eukaryota; Bacillariophyta.
UAGGUGGGAGGCGUUGAAUUUAUUCUUGCGGGAAUUUAGGAGCCAUCAGUGAGAUACCACUCUGGUAAUGUUAGAUUUCUAACUUUGUAUCAUAAUCUGGUCAAAGGACAGUUUCAGGCGGGCAGUUUGACUGGGGCGGUCGCCUCCUAAAUGGUAACGGAGGCGUACAAAGGUUUCCUCUGAACGUGUAGAAAUCGUAUCUAGAGUAUAAAGGCAUAAGGAAGCUUGACUGUGAGACUUACAAGUCGAGCAGGGACGAAAGUCGGUCUUAGUGAUCUGACGGUGCUGAGUGGAAAGGCCGUCACUCAACGGAUAAAAGUUA